GAUGAACGCUAGCUACAGGCUUAACACAUGCAAGUCGUGGGGCAGCAUGAAGGAAGCUUGCUUCCUUUGAUGGCGACCGGCGCGACGGGUGAGUAACGCGUAUCCAACCUUCCCCUUACUAGAGGAUAGCCCGGCGAAAGUCGGAUUAAUACUCUAUGUUCUCCUUUGAUGGCAUCAGAUGAGGAGCAAAGAUUCAUCGGUAAGGGAUGGGGAUGCGUCUGAUUAGCUUGCCGGCGGGGUAACGGCCCACCGAGGCGACGAUGGGUAGGGGUUCUGAGAGGAAGGUCCCCCACAAUGGAACUGAGACACGGUCCAUACUCC
Molecule: ribosomal RNA, 321 nt
Filed under: uncultured Prevotella sp.
Lineage: Bacteria; Pseudomonadati; Bacteroidota; Bacteroidia; Bacteroidales; Prevotellaceae
Description: bacterial SSU rRNA
Rfam family: Bacterial small subunit ribosomal RNA
Source: RNAcentral